UACGAAGGGGGCUAGCGUUGUUCGGAAUUACUGGGCGUAAAGCGCACGUAGGCGGGUCGUUAAGUCAGGGGUGAAAUCCCGGAGCUCAACUCCGGAACUGCCUUUGAUACUGACGAUCUAGAGGUCGAGAGAGGUGAGUGGAAUUCCGAGUGUAGAGGUGAAAUUCGUAGAUAUUCGGAAGAACACCAGUGGCGAAGGCGGCUCACUGGCUCGAUUCUGACGCUGAGGUGCGAAAGCGUGGGGAGCAAACAGG
Molecule: ribosomal RNA, 253 nt
Filed under: uncultured bacterium
Lineage: Bacteria
Description: partial 16S ribosomal RNA
Rfam family: Bacterial small subunit ribosomal RNA
Source: RNAcentral